Molecule: ribosomal RNA, 467 nt
Filed under: uncultured bacterium
Lineage: Bacteria
Description: partial 16S ribosomal RNA
Rfam family: Bacterial small subunit ribosomal RNA
Source: RNAcentral
GACGAACGCUGGCGGUGUGCUUAACACAUGCAAGUCGAACGGAAAGGCCUCUAUCGGGGGGUACUCGAGUGGCGAACGGGUGAGUAACACGUGAGUAACCUGCCCUUGACUUUGGGAUAACUUCAGGAAACUGGGGCUAAUACCGGAUAGGAGCUCCUGCUGCAUGGUGGGGGUUGGAAAGUUUCGGCGGUUGGGGAUGGACUCGCGGCUUAUCAGCUUGUUGGUGGGGUAGUGGCUUACCAAGGCUUUGACGGGUAGCCGGCCUGAGAGGGUGACCGGCCACAUUGGGACUGAGAUACGGCCCAGACUCCUACGGGAGGCAGCAGUGGGGAAUAUUGCACAAUGGGUGGAAGCCUGAUGCAGCAACGCCGUGUGCGGGAUGACGGCCUUCGGGUUGUAAACCGCUUUCGCUCAUGACGAAGCUUUGUGUGACGGUAGUGGGUAAAGAAGCACCGGCUAACUACGUG